UGGCAAGGUGUGAUUGGUUCCCGUGUGGGUGCUGUGAGUUGUGUUUCGCCUCUCUUCUCCCUUUCUUUUCUCUGAUAAAAAAAUUAUGGGUUUUGUUCUGAUUGCUUCAUGAUUAAUGGGAUUGAUAAAUUGAUUGCAAGACUAGUCUUGGAGCUCCGUUGGUGGUUGCUCGGUCUAGACGAAUUCCGACGACCUUAAAGUGCUUCGCUUCCACCGCCAAUUCCGAACUUCUCCGUUCCCAGCUCGAUCGUCUUCACGCGGAGGCAGAGUCCACUCGUGCCAAAGCAAAUAGUAAUAGGUUGAGACUUUUGAGAUUAUCCGAGGCUGCUGAGAAUCUACGGAGACAAGCAUCUGUUCAUGUUCAGACAGGGAAAGAGAACGAUGCAAGAGAGUUGCUUCUCCAGAGAGCUUGAGAAGGUGGUGGAUUUUUUAGUUUCUCGUUUGUAAUUGGCCAUGAAUGCUUGAGAAGGUGGUAGAUUGGGAAGAUCAAUCGCGCUAAUUUUGAAUUGUUCAUUUCAUUGGGAGUUAUUUGGGGUUUAGGGAUUUGAAAUCAAUUUGGUACCGAAACGAGGAUCUUGAGGUUUAUGGUGUUCUGUGGCGUAGAAAUUAUCAGAAAAAAAUCAAGUAAACUGGAACUUCUCAACUUGUUUGUGUAACAAUGGCUGGUCUCUGAGAGUUGUUAGGAGUUUGAAUUUGAGAUCACCUGUCCUGAGUAUAGAGUGGAGGUUUUUCACUGUUUAGAAAUCGAUCUUUAAAUUUUAUAAAACUCCUUUUGUUCCCAUAAGAUUAUGUCUGUGGAAGCAGCAGCUUUUGAUGCCUACUUUAAGGCUGUUUUACAGUGUUUAGAAAUAGCAGAUAGUGCAUCGUACUUCAUGAUUGUUCAGGGUACUUUUGUAUUGCAAGACAACAAGUUCAGAUGGCUAUCUCGUGUCUCAAUUGACCCUUCGUCUGAGAUGGUAACCAAAGAUCCGUCUACUCCAGGGGAAAGCAAAGCAGCACAAGCGGUGAGCAUGUACCUGUAUUUCCCAUGUGGAAUCAUAAGAGGUGUCCUCUCCAACUUGGGGAUACCUUGUGCUGUCUCUGCAGACAUAUCCAGCCUUCCCACUUUUGAAGGUCAGAGGUUCGAACCUCUUUCAACAAUUAUGACGAAAGCGUGUUGGUGCAUGCGGCAUGCGGUGGUCUAAUGCGUAGUUUCACUCGCCCCCAGCUGAGGUUCGAUCAAGAUUGGAUAGAAAUUUUUAAAAAUUGUUAUGCCGAAGUAGUUUUGUGGUUGACACUGUACUGCUUUCAAUAUGUUCUAAGGUUCGAAUCUCCAUGGACUCAAAAUUUUCUUCAGCCACAGAUGACCGGUUUUGAGAGGAAGCCAUCUAAACCAUCAAUUAGAACAUCCAAACUAAAAUGACAUAUUUUUGUUUUUUUUUUGUUAGGACUUAUAAGUAUGCAGAGCUUUUUAGAUAAAUAUUUGUUAUUCAAAAUUAUUAGUUAGAAUAACUUUUUUGGACUCUCCAACAAUUUAAAAUUUUAUUAAAGUUAAAUAUAUGACUAAUAGUUUAUAGUAAAUUUCUAUGUUAAAUUAUAGUUAAAAUCUAAAAUACUAACUAAAAGUUAACUGAAAAACAGUUUUCUUCUUGUUCUAAUUUAUCUUUUUACGUUUUUGCAGAAUACCAUCCUUUAUCCAAAAUUUUCAUUUGCCCUUUUUUCUUUUAAUUAUAUAAUUUAGUUUCUAUUGAAAAUUCUAGUAUCGGUCCCCACAUGUGAAAUAUUUUUUUUGUUAAAAAUGAUAAAGAAUUACUUGCGCUCUACCAUGUAACAAAAACUGUUAAAUAAGUUGGAUAUGUUGUUAAUUGAGAAGACUAUUGUUGAAAGACUUGACUAUAAAAGUUUAACGGAUGAAUUUUGCAGGAAAAAAAUGUAAGAAAUUCUAUAUUUUAAUAAUAAAUGUCUUAAAUAACUAGUUUUUUAUAAAUAAUUUAUGAAAUUUGAUCUGUAUGAUUUUUUUGUAUUUUUAUUAUUUUGAUAAAAUAUAUAUAAAAGCAUAUUUUAAGUUAGGCUUUGGACAGUAUAAAACGUUAGAUCGGCAGCUACACCAAGCUUUUUUUGAUGUAACAUGGAUUGCAGUAAAAAACAGGCUUGCUACAUG
Molecule: long non-coding RNA, 2140 nt
Organism: Raphanus sativus (radish)
Lineage: Eukaryota; Viridiplantae; Streptophyta; Magnoliopsida; Brassicales; Brassicaceae
Exons: 3
Source: RefSeq, a predicted model, not a curated record